GGAAACAUAAGAUACCAGCAGGCUUCAAUAAGUGGCCAUGUUGAAGAAGACUAGGUGUCAAGAAACUAAGGAAAAUCUACAACCAAUAUGCAGUAAGAAACCAAAGCCCUCUGCCAAAUGGUCCUUGAAGAAUUCAGUCUUGCUACCAAUCAUACAUUUAUUCAACACUAG
This is a non-coding RNA of Microcebus murinus (gray mouse lemur), 171 nucleotides long. The record is from RefSeq and is a predicted model, not a curated record. Lineage: Eukaryota; Metazoa; Chordata; Mammalia; Primates; Cheirogaleidae.